CAGCCGCCGCGGUAACACGUAGGGUGCAAGCGUUAAUCGGAAUUACUGGGCGUAAAGCGUGCGCAGGCGGUUAUAUAAGACAGAUGUGAAAUCCCCGGGCUCAACCUGGGAACUGCAUUUGUGACUGUAUAGCUAGAGUACGGCAGAGGGGGAUGGAAUUCCGCGUGUAGCAGUGAAAUGCGUAGAUAUGCGGAGGAACACCGAUGGCGAAGGCAAUCCCCUGGGCCUGUACUGACGCUCAUGCACGAAAGCGUGGGGAGCAAACAGGAUUAGAUACCCGUAGUCCCUGUCUCUUAUACAA
RNAcentral lists this ribosomal RNA (301 nucleotides) under uncultured bacterium. RNAcentral describes it as "partial 16S ribosomal RNA". It matches the Rfam family "Bacterial small subunit ribosomal RNA", at positions 509 to 809 of the family's 1533-position model. The record is from RNAcentral.